Anthonomus grandis grandis is the source of this 1856-nucleotide long non-coding RNA. RefSeq lists it as uncharacterized. NCBI's taxonomy places the organism in Eukaryota, Metazoa, Arthropoda, Insecta, Coleoptera, Curculionidae. The record is from RefSeq and is a predicted model, not a curated record. The transcript is spliced from 3 exons.
UUAGUUUUUAAUCAAAUUGCAGCAGAAAAUCUUAAAUGGAAAGGAGGGGUUUAGUGAUCCCUCAUUUUAAAGGUCUUUUAAUUACCUUUUCAGAAAUACCACCUAGUCGACCUUUCGAUUGAGAAGUUUGCGGAAAAUAAACGGGGGUCAAUACGGGUAUACCCAAAAAAUGAAAAAACCCAAACUUUGAAGGUCGAUAUCUCGGCUUCUGUGAGAGCUAUCGGGAAAAUUCCAACGGUUUUGUCUUAGUUUCGUCGUUUUGAAUCCAACGAGACCAUCCGCAAGGUCGUAGCUCUUCUAAUAGCUGAGAUAUGGCAUUUUUGAUGCCCAUUUUUGGCCUCAAAAACGGACGUCAAAAACGACUUUUUCAGGAUUUUCAAAGUGCUCUCAUUCCCUUAGUUCUGCUCGGAUCCUGUUAUAACCCGGUGUUUUCGUAAUCUAGGUGACCCAAAUAAGACGCUGGUAUACUUAGUUUGAUUUCGAAAAAAAUCAAUUUUUGGUGAAAAAAAUCGGUACGGGGGGGUAUACCCGAAAAAUGAAAAAACCCAAACUUUGAAGGUCGAUAUCUCGGCUUCUAUGGGAGCUAUCGGGAAAAUUCCAACGGUUUUGUCUUAGUUUCGUCGUUUUGAAUCCAACGAGACCAUCCGCAUGAUCGUAGUUCUCAUAAUAGCUGAGAUAUGGCAUUUUUGAUGCCCAUUUUUGGCCUCAAAAACGGACGUCAAAAACGACUUUUUCAGGAUUUUCAAAGUGCUCUCAUUCCCUUAGUUCUGCUCGGAUCCUGUUAUAACCCGGUGUUUUCGUAAUCUAGGUGACCCAAAUAAGACGCUGGUAUACUUAGUUUGAUUUCGAAAAAAAUCAAUUUUUGGUGAAAAAAAUCGGUACGGGGGGGUAUACCCGAAAAAUGAAAAAACCCAAACUUUGAAGGUCGAUAUCUCGGCUUCUAUGGGAGCUAUCGGGAAAAUUCCAACGGUUUUGUCUUAGUUUCGUCGUUUUGAAUCCAACGAGACCAUCCGCAUGAUCGUAGCUGUUCUAAUAGCUGAGAUAUGGCAUUUUUGAUGCCCAUUUUUGGCCUCAAAAACGGACGUCAAAAACGACUUUUUCAGGAUUUUCAAAGUGCUCUCAUUCCCUUAGUUCUGCUCGGAUCCUGUUAUAACCCGGUGUUUUCGUAAUCUAGGUGACCCAAAUAAGACGCUGGUAUACUUAGUUUGAUUUCGAAAAAAAUCAAUUUUUGGUGAAAAAAAUCGAUACGGGGGGGUAUACCCGAAAAAUGAAAAAACCCAAACUUUGAAGGUCGAUAUCUCGGCUUCUAUGAGAGCUAUCGGGAAAAUUCCAACGGUUUUGUCUUAGUUUCGUCGUUUUGAAUCCAACGAGACCAUCCGCAAGAUCGUAGUUCUCAUAAUAGCUGAGAUAUGGCAUUUUUGAUGCCCAUUUUUGGCCUCAAAAACGGUCGUCGAAAACGACUUUUUUAGGAUUUUCAAAGUGCUCUCAUUCCCUUAGUUCUGCUCGGAUCCUGUUAUAACCCGGUGUUUUCGUAAUCUAGGUGACCCAAAUAAGACGCUGGUAUACUUAGUUUGAUUUCGAAAAAAAUCAAUUUUUGGUGAAAAAAAUCGAUACGGGGGGGUAUACCCGAAAAAUGAAAAAACCCAAACUUUGAAGGUCGAUAUCUCGGCUUCUAUGAGAGCUAUCGGGAAAAUUCCAACGGUUUUGUCUUAGUUUCGUCGUUUUGAAUCCAACGAGACCAUCCGCAAGAUCGUAGUUCUCAUAAUAGCUGAGAUAUGGCAUUUUUGAUGCCCAUUUUUGGCCUCAAAAACGGACGUCGAAAACGACUUUUUCAGGAUUUUCAAAGUGAUUCUCUC